Molecule: long non-coding RNA, 2524 nt
Organism: Rhododendron vialii
Lineage: Eukaryota; Viridiplantae; Streptophyta; Magnoliopsida; Ericales; Ericaceae
Exons: 2
Source: RefSeq, a predicted model, not a curated record
UUUACAAUUUUUGAGGAGAAGUUUCUGACCGACGAGGAGAUUCGAAAAUUUUCCCUACUUUCGAAGCAAAAUCUAAAUCGUGAAAGGAUACAAAAAGCAUCCCACGCAGAGAUAUUUUAGUGAGAGAACAUCCCAGAGAGAGAGAGAGAGAGAGACAGAGCAGGCCGAAUUUCACUGUAUCGGAAUAUAUUUGUAGAUAUCCCCCCAUAGAUACAUGUGUGAUACUUUCCUUCCCUCCAUCCCUCUCAUUGAUCAAUCGCCAAACCCUCUGUUUCAGUUUGUUGAACAAUCAUCACACGCCUUUUCUCUUCUUCGUCGGACUGUUGAUUUUGACAGACUCGUUCGAAUCGGUCUCCAUGUUUUUGGCUCGGUUUCGCUCUUUUUUUCAGAGAGAGAAACUGCUUUUCGUCACCCGUACUACUGUUUUUGAUUUGUGGUUGAGAUCGUGAGGGACCGAUGCCGGGAAAUCGACAGGUUCAGAGCAACGGCGUCGUUUCCAAUUCGUCCGCCAAUCACCUCGAAGGUAUAAUCAUGGUGUAUACUCUCUUACUCGCAAUAUAUUUAACAUGCUUGAGUUUCAAGCAAUGAAGUUAGAGUCCGAUCAUGGCUUCUUUUUUUUUUUUUUGCUCUCUUUCCUUUUGUUGAUAUCUUUGUUCUCGUCGUCGUCGGUGUUGUUCUUUCUGUUUGUUUGAUCGGGUGACGAUUCACGAUUAUUUCUUUUAUUUAAUCAAUCUAUAGUUUUUUUUUGGAUAAGUAAUUAACUAAUCAAUAGUUUACUAACUAAUGUGCCCAAUAUAUAGCAUACUAGUUAGUCAUUUACUUAAUUAGUAAUCAAUAACGCUAGAGAAUACUGAAUAUGGUUACUAACUAAUGUGCCAAAUCUAUAGCAUACUAGUUAGUCACUUAUUUACUUUUCCUUAAAAUUGCUUUAUGUUAAUAAAAUCUCCAUCUCUACACAAAAUAUGUAGUUUAAUGUGUAUUUAGAUGCGCGGCUUAUUUUGUAUAUAUGCGGAAUUCAUUAUCUUUUGAUUGUGUUGGUGUCUUUGUUGUCAUCGUUGUGUUCAUUUUUGUGUUUUUGUUUUUUUGAUUGGGUGACGAUUCGUGUUCUUGCUUUUGAUCUGGUAAUCACUAAUGCUAGAGUUAAUAAAUAGUUUACUAACUAAUGUACCGAAUGUGUAAUAGCAUAUUAGUUAGCUAUUUACUAUCCCAAUCGUCUCUCUCACCAUGAAGAUCAUCUGAACAAACAGUGAAACCCAAUAAACCCAAAAAAAUGAGAACCCGUCCUCUAAAUCAUCUUCCCCAGUUUCUCUAUUUUCCUUCUUUUUCCCACGCAUACUCAGACCUCUAAAACCCUAAUAUAAUUUAGGAUAAAUUUUUGUAGUCGUCCCUUUAGUUUUACGUUUGUCUCGAUUUCGUCCCUCUAGUUUCAAUUGUAACCAAAUAAACCUUGUAGUUUGUUUUUCGUCUCAAUUCGGUAAAAUCAUUCACGGUGUGAAUAAAACUAAUGGAAAAUGAGGUUUGGAGGGGUAGAUGUACGAAAUGUUAUGGGCAAAUAAGACAUUUCGGCCUAAUCUCCCGCCAAAAUUGAGUUUGCCAUAUAUAUAUAUUGUCAUUUUGGUACAAUUCCUUUACCCAGUCGUAAGCCCUAACCCAUCCAGACUUGAAGAAGCUUCAAUGGAGUCCAAGCAAUGCCAUUGUGGAAAGAGAGCUCCAGUCGGCACCUCAUGGACUGAUACGAAACCCUGGCAGAAGAUUCAUUGGACGUUCCAAACAUGGGUCUAGAGAUGCUUGCACCUUCUUCAUGUGGGUGGAUCCACCUAUCUAUGCUCGUUCUCGGGAUGCUCAAAAGAACCACGCAGCUUGAGGCGAAAAUUGGACUUCUCAAGCGACGAGAGAAUUCUGGUGGCUAUUAUAUUGCUGUCUUGGGUGUUCUUUUCUGGUUCAAUUCCUCUGUUGAUGGAGACUGUAACGACCCGCUCCAUCUUUGUACAAUAUUGUCCGUUUUAGACGCCCAAAGUCAAUAGACUUCCCAGUAGGUCACCCACCCCUGGACUACCCUAGGAUGAGCACGCUUAACUGUGAAGUUUCUAUGCGCUUUGGCCCGCCCUUACGGCUUUAAAAGACCUUGUACAAGUAGGAGGGAUCUUUCCUUAUAAACCAUGACUUGCCCCCUCCCGUCCGGACGAAGCCUGCUUCCUGCAAUACCGCUGGCCACCGGAAAGCGGGGUGUCACAGAGACUGUUAUGCUGGCAAAGGAAAUCAUGGUGAUGGAUUCUGAAUGUAGUAACCUGGGAUGGGCAAUGUGUACAUAGUACUUAGUAGUAUAUGGGGUAAUGUAGGUUGGUUUAGACGAGGUUAACUUGUGUUUUGUUAUGGUGGUAAUGGUGGUUUUGGGGGAUGAUAAUCAAGUGUCCAUAUAUUGGUUGGUUAUGGUAUGUAACGACCCGUUUUUUUGUAAUGAAAGUGAUGACAUUUGGUUUAUAUUAGUGCUUGUGAAUCAGUAAUGCCAUUUUGCAUUCAUGCC